This 4293-nucleotide ribosomal RNA is filed under the name Triticum aestivum (bread wheat). RNAcentral's name for it is "partial small subunit ribosomal RNA". The record is from RNAcentral. Lineage: Eukaryota; Viridiplantae; Streptophyta; Magnoliopsida; Poales; Poaceae.
CAGUCGCGGAAGGAGCGAGCAACGAGCGUAUACACGUGUCGUUGUGUUACUGUGCAACGCUCGCACAGAAAGAAAAAACGCUGGUAGGUCAUCCCUCGCACAGAACGAUUCUUUUUCUCUCCCUCUCUCACUUUCCACCCCAACCUAGGGUUGCCGCCGCCGCCGCCGCCCCCGCCCCCAUCGCUUCUCUAGCGCUGCCCAUCAGAGGACGGCCGUUUCUCCGCUGCUUCUUCUCUCGCCCUGCUCCAUCCCGACCAGCGCCACCGCCGCCCCUUUUCUCUCGUCUACGGGCGAGCCGUCACCCGUGAGGUGAGACGUCGUCUCCCGGCCAGGACAUAGCGGCAGAGAGGAGCAAGGAAGCAGCAGGGGAAGUCCAAUUGGAAAAGUUAGUGGCGCUACAGAUUUCUUGCUCCCUUGGUCGACGGGGAUGCGGUUUUCGUUGGUGGUGGUGGGAGGGGAACAUGCGUGGCGGUGACGGGAGGACCAUCAGAAGAAGAGGAGGAUGGGGAACAGGGGAGGAGGCCAAGCGGGGAGGAGAGACGUGAAGCAUUCAUUUGCUGCCGUUUCUCCAGAUCCAGAGCAAAUAUGGGAGCUCCAGCAAGGCCUUGGUUCAGAACCAGUCCAUAUGCGAGACAAUAUUUGAGAGGGUGUCUGAUUUCAUUGGACCUUUUUGCAUUGUUUCCCAAAAAGGAUGAGCCUAGAGGCACGAGACCAUUAUAAUUCAAUCCAUUAUUUAAUUUUACUUUUUGAAAAGGUAGAGUAUAUUGUGUUUGAUAUGCUUUCUGGUUUUAAUUAACAGAAAGGGAUAUGUGACGUUUUGUUUACUCUUCUGUGUGUAACUUCAGAGUAAAACUGUUGUUUUGUGCACUUCCUUUACCUCCUCUUUCCAGCUACCAAGUUUCCUAAUUUUUUAAUGGAAGCCUUAUCCUAAAUAAGAAUUCAAUUUUGUUGCUUGAGAUUUUGACUCGAUCCUGUCCUGCUUUGGAUAAAAUAUUUACCAAGAAUCUGUACUUGCCAGUCUAUUUGUUGAAUAUGGAGAUUAACAAUGUAUUGUUGUCUCACCUAUAUACCCAUUGUUCAUUUUCUUCUUUGGAGGUUCUGAUGUUGCAACCAAUGAGCCUUUGCUCAGGAAAGAUGCUUCUAAGCCAUCUGAUAUGAGCGAUGUUGCACCACAAUGUUCUGUACAUUCAGAGAAGCAUGCAGGAAGAAUUGCAAUACUUCACCACUACCCUUGAUCUUUACUAAAAAUAUAAUGUGCCAUCGACUCAUUAGGAAAUGCUGGCGAUUUGAGAUAUCUUGAUCUCCAACAGUAAAUAGUAUGCAUCAAGUGAUGUCAUUGAUACUAUCAAACAGGCUUUUGGUUGUUCACCGCACGCAGAUCAUCUGCAAGAAGGGUUCAGUUCAGGAACUAAGGUUAUGCGUCACCAAUGAUUUGAAGUUGAGUUAUCUUUUGUCCUUGGACAGGCCUCCUUGUGAGAACACAACUUCACUGCUUUAAGAAUAAUGUUGUCAUGAGUCAAAACCUUUCUAAAUGAUGUCCAACAUGCAGGCCGAUAGGAAUCCUCAAUGUUUGCCUUGAAGAACUAUUAAUGUGAUCUUGAUUACCGUAAUGCACUGUUCUUAACAAUGAUUACCAACAACAACACCAUUUUAAAUAUUAAAUAUGAAAACUAAUGACAAACUGGUAUGGUGAGAAAGCUUGAAAGAGAGAAGGACAUGCAAAGAAGAUUUGAGCAAACAUGAAAAAUAUAGAGGAUAAAUAUCGAGGAUCGAAUCCUGCUUGGAAUCACUUCAUGCAAGGUGUUUUCAUGUUUUGCAAUCAUACCUUCACAAUAUAUGUAAUAGGUAAUAUGUGGUCAAAAGGGUGUUCGCAAGGUGUAUGGUGUUUUCAUGUUGGAGGUGAUUUUUUUACCAAUAAUUGAGCAGCGGCUGUGAUCUGAGGAAUAUAACAGUUGUCCAGCGAGGGAAAAAAAUCUUAGUGGGUGAAAGCUGAAGUGUUUAACAAAUUGACAGGAGGUUCAUGUGAAUUCUGUAGGCACUGGUAUAUACAAUGGUUUAGCUAGAUAAUUUAUAAUGUUGGUAAAAUUUGUCUGUUUAUUCUUUUGAUCUGAAUGGCAUGGAAAAUAUUGAUUCGUUUCAUUUUGUCAGUUUUUUAUGUGGUGCUCAGUAAUGCUUGAUUUAUGUUAAUUAAGCCAAUGCUUUCACUUGUUCCAGGGAACGAAAAACAAAUGACAGACUACCAAAUGUUAUUUUGCUAACAGUAGAGGGCCAAUGUUAACUCGUGCAAGAAUGGUUGUACACAGAGGCGCCAAGGUGCUCCAGCAAUACAAGGGCGCACAGCUCCGCCUCAAGAGGCGCGCCAAGGGCGCGCCCCAGCCCCUAGUGCCCAGAUCCAAGAUCUGGUGUUUAGCCUUGCUCCAAGUAAAGCCAUAGCCUCCAAACAGAUGGUGCAUAUGAAUCAAGGACAAGGGGAAACAAGCUAUGCACACAACUCCAGUGUCCAGAACGCUCAGCAGAACAGGAUGAUGCCCCUGAUAGAAGCGGCCAUCAUUGACUUGUGCGGCAGCAGAAGCACCUUGUUCCCUGAAAAGAUGCUGAUUGCGGACUUGGGCUGCUCUUAUGGCCCAAAUGCGCUAGCACUGGUAUCGACUGCCGUCAAGGCCAUCAUCAACCACUGCCUUCAGUUCCAGCAACCACCACCCGAAGUGUGUGUGCUCCUCAAUGACCUUCCUGACAAUGACUUCAACACGGUGGUGAAGAGCCUGGCCACGCUCCGUCAAAGUAACAACAAGCUCUUCACUAGUGACUCCUUGCAUCUUGUCUGCUCGUCCAACAGCUUGCAUUGGCUCUCCAUGGCUCCCGAAGAUCUGACGAUGAACCAGAUCCCUGCGUACGACAUGGAUGAACAUGCUAGGCGUGAAAGACUCCCUAUGGUCCGUGAGGCUUAUGCACGUCAGUUCAGGAAACAUUUCAUACUUUUCCUGGAGCUGAGAGCCAAAGAAUUGGUCCCAGGAGGCCGAAUGGUUGUUUCCCUUGUAGGGCGGCCUUCUAAUGUAAAAGCCUCCAAAUUCUUUCACCUUUGGGAAACCUUAGUUCAGAUUCUAAGUGUCAUGGCCUUAGAGGGUGUGAUCGACAAAGCGAAGUUUGAUUCUUUCUAUGUGCCGGUGUAUGGACCCUCUGGUGAAGAGCUGAGGGAGAUCAUCCAAGACGAGGGCUCCUUUUCUAUCAGCGAUAUGCGGGUAUAUGACGCUGCAACUGAUAUGAACAGCAUGCUCUUCACCCCAAGCUCGUUUGUGAAUUAUCUGAGAGCCAUAUUUGAGCCGAUAAUAGUCGAGCAUUUUGGAGAGGUCAUGGAUGAAUUUGUGAGGACCGCGGAGCGGCGCUGGAGCCUCGAGGGCAGCAUGCAAGACGAGCGUGCUAGAAAUCCACGAGCUAUGCUGGCUGUAUCCCUUGUAAAGGCAUGAUUAUCAGGUCACACUGAUGGAUUGUCUUGUGCAAGAAGUUCUAUUGCCUGGCAACAUGGCCUUGUGGGGAUCCGAUUUGGAUGGACAUGUCGUUGACACACUGUUCUGGGAGAAAGAUAGAUGGAUGGUAGUGUCCAGGCGUCGAGCCGAACACACCUGUCUGCCGUCUCUAAGGCUUUGUACCCUGUUACUUACCUCUUAAGAGGUUGAGCAGGUCUGUUGGUUCAUGGGAGGGUUACAGGAGGAUGUUCAAGUAGGUACUCCCUCCGUCCCAAAAUUCUUGUCUUAGAUUUGUCUAAAUACGGAUGUAUCAGUUGGAGGAGGUCUUAAGGCAACGUACAGGGUCUUUAAUCUGUGAUGUACCAGCGCCUCUCUCUCUCUGAGUUCUUCAAGUCUGGGCGCAUCUAUGGGCAUUCCUCUGCUAGCUUUGUUUCUUUGUCCCGGCAAUGGAGCCUGUGAGCUACGCUCGUCGCAUCACUUGGGAAGGCAUGGCCAGUCGUAACGUGUUAUUUAUUUCCAAAUAUUCUAUUCGAUCAGGAGAUUAGGAAUGAAACACAGACAAAAACUUACAAGAGAUUGGAGGGAGGAUAACAGCAGAAACAGAACUGAAACUAAGUGCUCAGACUGCUUGAGAUUGUAACACUUAUUCUUAGUAGUCAAUAGAGCUCUCUUUUCUCACGGAAAGAUAACAAUUGUGUUGUUUGUUCAUGUAGCUCCUUAGUAAUAGCACGUAGUUAGUCUUGGUGAUAAUUGACGGUUUGACACUACUGUAAUAUUCACUGUGUGAUCCAUGACAAUAUUUGAACACUCCAAUUUAUUGUUCUUAUUC